UACAGGGGGUGCAAACGUUGCUCGGAAUCAUUGGGCGUAAAGCGCACGUAGGCGGUUCGUUAUGUCGGAUGUGAAAGCCCUUGGCUUAACCGAGGAAGUGCAUCCGAAACUGGCGAGCUAGAGUACGAAAGAGGAUCGCGGAAUUCCCGGUGUAGAGGUGAAAUUCGUAGAUAUGGGGAGGAACACCGGUGGCGAAGGCGGCCACCUGGACGGUAACUGACGCUGAGACGCGAAAGCGUGGGGAGCAAACAGG
RNAcentral lists this ribosomal RNA (253 nucleotides) under uncultured bacterium. RNAcentral describes it as "partial 16S ribosomal RNA". It matches the Rfam family "Bacterial small subunit ribosomal RNA", at positions 524 to 776 of the family's 1533-position model. The record is from RNAcentral.